GAUGUGGUUAAUGAUGCUGAAUCUUUUUUCCCCAUCUUAUCGACCAUGGUGAAAAUUAUCUGAAAAAUAAGCCAACUUUGUCUGAAACCACAUC
Myripristis murdjan (pinecone soldierfish) is the source of this 94-nucleotide small nucleolar RNA. Ensembl annotates it as small nucleolar SNORD12/SNORD106. NCBI's taxonomy places the organism in Eukaryota, Metazoa, Chordata, Actinopteri, Holocentriformes, Holocentridae. The record is from Ensembl.